GGCGAGGCCGCGCGGUGGAGAACCGCCGGGAUUUCUCCAACCCGCGUAUGCGCACCCACAGCAGCGGCCUUUGGAGGCCGCGGCGCCAUUUUAGUGGCCUUCUUUCCCCCUUGGCAUCUGUCGUGUACGUUGUGGCUGGGUGUCCCCAGUUCCCCCAUCCCGCCCUGACUUUGGCUGCCCGCUCCACCAGCCUGGAUAGAGUGACCAAUCAGCUCUGACCUAGGGUGGGAUGCACGUCACCAUGGCGACGGCUAGGGCGCCCUGGCGAUGCUGCCCAUCGUAGAGGGCGACUCUUCACUCCGCCUGGAUGGGUGUGAAGGGAAGGUGGGGACAGGUGCUGGGGAGGGGCGGGCGGAGGCAGGCCGUGGCACCUCCUCCCCAUUCCCACCUCGUUUUGCCUACAGUCAGUUCAGCUGGGUCAGGCGGGGGACAAAUGGAUGUUGUGGAAGGCGCCUGGGUAGGGGUCUGGGCUCGUUCUGGGGCGGCUCUUCCACGAGUCGUCUCAUCCCCCGCAGGACCUAGCUCUGGUAUAAAGGCUUAUCUUGGUCUCUCAUCCUCUUCUAUGUCUCUCUGCCAAAGACAGUGGUGUUCAGGAGCCUCCAGACGCUUGCCCCUCAUUUUUCUUGCUGUUAAGUGCUGUGAUUUUAGACAAGUCGCUUUCCCUAGGUCUUAGUUUUUGCAUCCAGAAGAUGGGCUGCUGUGCAGGCUCAUGCAUGGAAAGCCUUGAGUGCACACUGGGUGCUCUUUCAGUGUUACAGCUCCUUCUCCCUUAGCAGGGAGUGCAAGACCUUUGGGGGCAGGAUUCAGAACCUGAGGAUGUCCUUUCUGUCCAGGGCAGCCAAGUUUGGGUGUCUGGUGGCUUCCUAGAGCCAGCUUUUCAUCUCUUCUCCAGACAGCUGGCAGAGGAGGGGAGGAUUUUUAAAAAUAGAGCCAGGGUGGGGGCUGUGGCUGGAACAAAACCUUGGUCAGUGGCUCUGAGAAUGGGGCGCUACAGCUCCUAAAGCUCUGGCUCCUUCCUUCAAGCCUGGUCUGGCUUAAGCACCACUUUAAGUGGUCCCGGCAUUCACUGGCCAGCCCCUCACCGCAAUUGAGCUGCAGGGGUUUGAAAAGAGGGCCAGGGCCUCAAUGACAGGACCUUGGGCCAGGCUAAUUGGUUUUGGUUCAAGGGGAUAGUGGAUUUGUGAAAAGCUCCAAACCGCCUUUCCCACGCCAGAGCCAGGCCACGGCUUUAAGGAGAAGGGUUCAAGGAGCUUGGGGCCAGGCAAGAAAGCUGGGAGCGAGGUGCCUUCAGCUGAUGACCCUGCUCUCAUAGCCAAGACAGCCCUCUGGUUGGAGAGGGUAGGAAGCUGUUGUGAGGCCACUUCCAGGAGCACCUGCAUUUAUGGCCUGUCAGGUACUCGAGAGUCAGUUGGAUAUAUUCCUAACCUUCUCCUACACGUGGCUGUGCCAAGAAAGGGGCCUCCUCCUUUGGCGUACCUUAGUGGUGGAGAGGCCCCAUUUUCUCAAGUGGGAUCAUCCAGUAAAAGAAGCCAGCAAUGGCCAGGUUUAAUAUUUCUUGCCCCAGGAGCUGGACUAAACCCAGGCUUUUAUAUUCUGGGGGCAUUCUGGACUCUAUCCUGAGGCAGGUAUGCAGUUGGUCUCAAGGUGAUAACCCACUUCUGUCUCUUGAAAUGUCCUUAUACUACCCUGGGCAUGGACAAACAAAGCAGAGAUGAGAAACAGGAAGCCCUUGGUACUUUAAAAAAAAAAAAAGUCAAAUAUUUCUAUUCUCAAAAGUCCAGUAUUAAUUAUGUUAUGACUUAAAUCUAUCAUCAUUAUAGAUAAUUUUAAUAUAAAUGGCUUGAAGCAUAUAUCUUAAGGUGUAUCAGUUACCUAUGUGUUUGGACAAAAUGAUUGCACAUUCGUAUAUGUAAUAUACCCAUUCUAUGUGUGCAUAUAUAUAUGUAUACAUGGUCUAUAUAUCAAAUCAUAUGCUUAUAUUAACAAUCAGUUAUGUUAAGGUUGAAGGCAGGGUGGGGUGCUAUAAAUCAUCAGCCCCAUUUAAAAUAACAACGUUGCAUUGACUGAGACCAGUGUUUCAUGGUUUAUUGUGUGUUGGAGGGGAGCAUUCCUAUGCGAUCACAGGCUGAAGAAACCCCCUACCUUUUUUAUUAUCCAAAUUUUUCACUGUGUUUGCCCACUUGACGCAUAUAAAUAGGAGAAAGGCACUUUGAAGAGAUAUAGAACUCUGUGUAUCACAUUUUCCAUUUUUAUUUCAAUUUUUAAUUGCCCAGAGCCUAAUUUCUUUGGGCCUCUGCUGAUUUGCACAUUUGAGAUUCAUGUGUAAAUAUGUAUGUGGCAUGUGUGCACGCCUGGGCCUCCUUAUCACAAAGUGUGCUCUCUCGGUGUUUAAAUACACACAAUCCACAUCGACACAUGAUUAUGGGCUUACGUAUUUGCUUCUUCUCUAGAAUCGGGUUAAUUUUCCCUUCGCUAAUCCUCAAACCCAUUAAGUUCCCCACCUCCCCACCCCCACAAAAAAUUGCAAACCCUACCACAGACCAGUGGUCUCACCCCACUUCUCCAGCAAGCAGUUCUCCAGGCGGGGUGCUGGAGUGAAGGUUCCUAUUAGGCAGACUUCAUUAAUGUUACCAAAUAUACCCUGGCACAUUUACUCGCCUACUAUGAAGUAUUACCAUAAAUAAUUAAAAUUAAACUGCACUUGUCAAAAUAAAUGAACAAAGUAGAGUUAGUGAUGUCUUUGCCUUGAUUUGCUUGGUUUGCUUAUUCACUAAUUUGAAGAAAGAAAGUGGGAAAAAUCAUAGAAAGAACACUGCUACAGACUGCCAUGGGAUGGACAGAGGAGAUAGGGAGAGAAUGGAGUGGGGGGAGAGAGAGAGACAGAGGGAGAGAGAGCCCUCAGUCAUCUGCCCUUGGGUUUCCAGUCAUUAGGGCACUCUAGGAGGCUGGAAUGCAGCCUUUAACGUCAGCCCAUAAUGAAUAUUGAGGUGUGGAUGUGGAAGGAGGGAUUUCUUUGUUUACUGAGGAAUGGCCAUGGGAGUAGGGGAGAGGAUUGCCUUUGGGGAUUAAGGAGUGGGCUUUGUUUUUAUAAAGGGCCUUACUUCUUUUCUGAAGUUUUCUGCAGCUAAUUGAUUCAAUUCAGACAUUCCUCUUCCCCACCCGGCCCUGGCCACGUGUUUGUGAGAUGUGGACAGCCCCAUUUCCCCAUCUGCUCUGGCCUCUUUUUCCACUGUGACCCUUGAAAAGGGUGUGAACCUUCACAUCAACGAGAUCACAGGCUAUGGGGAAAACAGUAAGGGGCCGAGACCUUUGUAAGGAUAUGUGUGUGAUAUAGAUGCACAUACAUAUACACGCACCUAUAUUAAUAGAGGUAUAAUUUACAUCUAGAAACAGAUCAUAGGUGUACAGUUCUGUGGGUUCUGACAAAUGCAUUUAUACCCAUGUACCCAACACCCAAGAUAAACUUCAUUUCCUUCAUUCCAAAAACUUCUUUCCUACCUCUCAGCAGUCAAUCCCUGCCAGUCCCCAUUCCGAUGUCUCUUACCAUAGAUUAGUUUUACCUAUCCAGAGUUUCAUAUAAAUGGAAUGUAUGCCAGGGCUUUUAAAAAUGAAUUUAUUUCGAGUCUGGAGGGAGCACUGUCCAGGGAGGCCUGGUUGAGCAUGUGUCCAGGAGCACUGGACUUGUGUUAAACACUGUCCCCUUGGAUGGGCCCGGAAGUCAAACCUGUCAUUAGAUUUUUUGUUGUUGUUGUUGGGGGAGCUGGUGUGGGCUGGUCGUCCUCCAGGAGAGCCCUGUUCUCACCCGAGGUCUGUUAAUGAGCUGGGGACAGGUGAGCCUCACACGUUCCAACUUGGCUGCCUUCAGCGGCAUCCAGGAGCAGUGGUGAGCUAUUAAUGGAAGGUGCUGGCUUUGUGCUAAUUAGAACUUCCUUUCAGCUUCCAUCUGCACAGACACUGGAGCCCCUCACUGGUCAGCCUCACCGUUCCAACCCCCCUCAGUUUGCAACCUAGUUUUUGUCCCCCCUGCCCCGCCCUCCAUGAAUUAGGGGGUACUAUGAGUGGAGCUGCUUUCCUCUAUCUCUGGUCAAAUCCUGGCUCUUUGUGUAUUGCAGGACUGCACUGGGUGGUAUUUCUCAGGCCUUCUCUCUCUUAUUGGGGUGAAGAUGGAGUUGGAAGAUGGGGUUGGAAAGGGAUUUGGGCACCAUGGGCACCCUCCUGGGUAGGCUGGACUUACAUCAUUGACCUGAAUUUGUUUUAUGAAAGACCUCUCUCCUCUGCCCUCUGGAGACUGUGGCUUCAGACCCUUGUCCUUUCCAUUACCCCUAGUCCUGAUGUCUCCCAAGUCUGAUGGUACCCACCCAUCUCAACUACAGCUGCCAUCUUUGCCAUCUCAGGCAGCCUACAGGUAGGGGCUGUGUCCUUGGCCCUCUUCUGGAAAAAAAAAAACAAGAAAAACAACAAAAAAAAAACAACCUAUUUUUUUUUUCCUUCACUUUUGCUUUUUAUUCCUUUCACUUCAGGCCCAAUGGAUAUAAUUUUUUCUUUAAUGGAAGUUGUCUCUUACAGAGGUUUCAUUGAAAAAGAAGAAACAACGUCACUUUAACGUCAUUUAAAGAAAAAGCACCUCUCAGAAUGGAGGUUAGGAAAGCUAGGGUUUCCUGCCUGAAUAUCAGUUCCUCUAUUGAAACGAAGGGAUGAAAUCCCUUGUAAGGAACUCAAGAGAGGAGCGUUUCCUCAAAAUGCUUUCUUUAGCUCCUGAGUCUCCUUAGGUCUACACUGGGGUUGUGUGUAAAAAUACCAAGCCCUCCCUGACAAUGCGUCUCCUUCUCUUCUGCUUGAAUUAUCCUGAUAAUGAGAGUUCACCCACUUCUUUGACAGUGUAGACUAGGAUUUUAAAAAUUGGGAGUGAAUUGUUGGACAGUGUGACACUUCACCAGAUUCCCUCAAGGUUCUGGACCUACGCUAAAGAGGGGUGGAAAUGCUUCUGGGGUGUCCAGAAGGGCUGCAGAAAUUCCCCAUCACUGGUCAUUGGGAGAGCAGGAGGACUGGUUUCCCUCUGUGGCCUAUUCUGCCUCUGAAGGUGACAAUUCCUGAUUUGAGGCACUAGGGUGGAAGAUCCAGGACUAUCCAGGACCAGGUUAAUAAAUUGGCGUCCAGAUUCCAGAAGGGCAGCAGCUGGGGACUGGAGACAUGCCCAUGCCUGUGGGACAGAGUUCUUUUGCAUGCUUUGGACUUUACAACUCUGUAUCCUUGACAAGUCACAGGCAUCUCUGGGUCAAAUCGGGACAAUAGUACCCAUACCUCCAAGGGUUAUGUGAGAAUUAAGUAAAAUAUACAAAUAAAGUGCCUGGCAUACAAUGGGCACUGAGCAAAUGGUAGCUCUUUUUUCCAGGCUGGGGCAAGGGAUGCAUAUAAAUGUCUGGAUCCGAAGUUUGAAAUUCCACCUGCUGGAGACAGUGAACACCCCAAUAGAUACCCCAAAUCGCACUGAAGGACGGAUGACGGGCUGCCUUCCUCCCCCAGGGCAUGCCAUACACACUGGGUCUGAAGUGGAAGAAUCGGCACCCCAAAAAACGGCUUGUGUAGCGGGGUUGCACAUGGGUGUAAAGUUCCCAGCUUGGCUGCCUGGGGAGGGGGACACAUAAAUGUCUUUAGAGAUUUGAAGGGAGCAGGAUCUGGACUGACUUGCGUUGCCAAGACGGCUGGGGCUGGGAGCCAAGGGGGUGCUGCCGGGAGGCCCGCGUUAGCUUGGGGUAUGACAUUUCUAACAGUUGGCGCCUAGGAAAAUGGCCUGGGGUUCCAGCUCUGGAGGGUUCCGAAUCUCAGGAUUCACAAGUGGCGCUGUCCGGAGCAGCCAGGGUUGUCCCGAGGUGGUCUCGGGCAGGCUUUCCACGAUGUGCUGUCUGGGUCGCAGGUGAGAACCUCAUGGUUCUCCAUUUCCGGAACUCCAGCUCUGAGCAGGCAGAGGGGCGCUGCCCUCGCCUGCCCCUGCGGUAGCCAAGCAGGUGGCUGGAAGCAUGGCUAGCUGGUGGGUAAGGAGCUCCGGGUGAGACGGAACAGCCGGAGACCCCCAAUCCCCUUAGCCGGUGCCCCACCCGAUUUCUCUCCUGCGUCCUGGGAGGGCAUGGUUGAGGCGCCACCAGUGACCAGCAACCUCCCCAGGCUGUGGUUGUGACCUGAGGACGCGUGUGUCUCCGCCCCCAGGCCAACGCUAGGCGACCCUGAGUGCACCUUCAAGAAGGCCUGGUAUGUUUCUGGGCGGUCGUGGGGGGUGCCUGAUAUCUCGGCUCUGUUUUACAGCUACUCCCCUGCUGGUGCCUCCCUCCUUGGCGCGGUUUCUGCCUGCGAUCAGCGCCCUCUUCGCAGUCACGAACUCGCCAGCAGCUAGCAGCACUUACUAGUAGGAGGGCCCACCGGAGGAGAGGAAACCCCAGAGAGAUUGGUGAUGGUGAUUUCCCAGGAAGACGUGGUGUGCUCCGACUUCUGUGACAGUGAGCAACGGGACCAAUGGAUGUCCGGAUGCUGGCAAUGAGUAGGGUGGCGUCCCUACGCUGGGUGGCGUCCACACCCUUUGGCUUCCAUUGCCUGGGUCUCCUGGAGGACAUGCUCUGGAGUCAGAAGACAGCAAAAAGAGAAGCAGAAGCCCCGGUGGCAAGAGUCCAAAGCAGGAAGGAAUCACUGUAACCUGUGGAUUGUACUGCAGUAGGAAACUAUCCUAGCAAGGCUCCACUUUGCCCCAGCUUCAAGCUGGAAAGGAGGAGAACAUGAAACGUUGCUUGAAGACAAUGGCCGAGACAGCAGGUCCCACCCUGCACAGCCGCCAACAUCUCUUCCCUCAGCCUUGUCUCUUCUUCUGCAGUUGGGAUCUGUACAUUUAAGCCUGAAAUUGUCCUGUGAAGUGAAGUAUGAUCGGACAGCCUCUUUUCAGCUUUUAUGAAAAUGGAGACAGAGGAAUUGUGGCUCUUGCCAAGGUCACAGGAUUGGAACACAGAGCCAAGCCACCCCAGGACAUGCAAGAGCCUCAGAAGGGAAAAAGCCCAGCAGGAAGGGAGAACAAGUAGCCUCUGUUCUGAGGUUGUAACAGCCAGGGACCAGGAUGGAGGAGGAGGACCCCUAAUCCUGCCCAUCUGGGACUUGGCAGGGGACCUGGGAAAAUGUACCCCAACCCAUCCCUCAAGGGCCUUUGCCUUUGGCCCAUUGGCCUAGCAUCUCCUUCUUCACUAUGUCUGUUCUUGUCAGAUCUGUUUGGGUCUGAGGUGCAUGGAACAUUCUGGGUAGGCCUCCAGCAAACAGAAGCUCUUUACCGUGUUUCUAGCCUAGGACCAAGGGCAGCACACUGGCAAAGUUGCCAAAGCAAGGGACUCCAGCCUGCUAGGAGUUAAUGACUCCCUCUCCCCAGCUGUCCUCCCCUUGGUGCUCCUCUUCCUCCCUCCUCCUGCUCACAGCAGGCAGGGCCUGGACCCGGGAGCCAUGCUGCUGUGCUGUUGCCAGGGGAGUCCGGAGGCAGAUCUGAGCUAUGCAGGGAAAAGGCCCGGCCUGUCAAAGUGUCUGAGAUGAACCGCCGCCGUCCCUGUGCAGCUGGGCUCAGACGUGUCUCAGCUCUUGUUCUGUGCCUGAGAAUGGCGAAACCCAGUGAGGUUCAAGGGCAAACUCGCUAUUCAUUAGUCAGGGGUUCUUGACGUCCCGUCUCUCCCAGGGAUGGGUUCCCCCCCUUCCUCUUUCUCCCCCUCCUAUGACACAUUCCUGGGUGCCUUUGGUGAGGACUGCACACCCUCCUCCUGCCUAGCCCCCUUUCCAAGGGCCUCUGAAUAAACUCCCCCCAAGGAGACCAGGCAGGGCAGAGACAAUGGCUGCAGGAAAUCAUUCAGGCGGGACAUGCUGGCCUGCCCUCCACCCAGUCCCCCUGUGGGCCCCACUCCCUUCUGAUUCAGGGCACCCUUGGGCCCCUAGCCUAUACAGGCCUGGAUAGGAAGAAACCACUGGGAACAACCCUGAGGACAUCACGUUAGUCCAGUGCCAUUCUCUGCUGGCUCUGUGGGUGCCUUUGUGGCCUGCACCAACUGGCAGGCUAAUUUUAUGGUUUCUGUACCAUCACAUGCCUAUUUCAAGACACUCUCAAGCACUGUCAGUUGGGGAGUGUAAAUUCUACAAUAUUUUCUGAAAUGUGGCAAUAUCAAAAUGUAAAAGGCAAAUAUACUUGGUCACAAAAAUGGCACUAUUUACUCUGUGGGCAUAUUUGUAAAAGUUCCCAAAGAAUUACGUACAAGGAUGUUCAUCAGAGCAUUUCUUUUGAAGAGUGUAAAGAAAUGGACAUGAACCUAUGGUCUGUUCAUACUGUGGAAUACCUAUGCAGCUGUAAAAAUCAGUGUGGUAGAUCUCCGUAUAUGAGUUGAUGUGGAAGGUUGGCCAGUUCACAUGAUAAGGUGAAUAGAAUAAGUUACAGAACAGGCUGUGGAGUAUGAUCUUAUUUGUAGAUAUUUAAAAGUGAGUCAUAAGUAUGCUUAUAUACGGAAGUAUGUACUGGAAGGCUACCUCUAGGGAGUGGGCAUGGGGGAAUGCACUCUUCUAUGCUGUUCUGUUUUCUUUUCGUGCUCCUAAGAUACUUUUAUUGAAAGAUGUAAAGGGUUGUUCAGUAUAAUAGGCUUAACGUCUAUCAACUAACUUGGCGUGGGUGCUUUAAGAGGGUGGUAGUGAUGUUACUGGAGAAAGUAUCCCACAAUUACUGGUGGCUUCAGCCAUGGGCCAUUUUGGGGCCUAAUAAUCACAUAUCAUCAUGGUUGCUAGUGUUAAUCGAAAACCUACUAAGUGCCAGGCUUACUGUCUCUGGGUCUUGCUUACGUGGGUAUCAUUAUUCCAGUUUCACCAAAUCAAAAGAAGUUAAUUGGUUUGUUGCAGCUCCUCUGCAGGUGAGGGGCAGAGCCAGGAGCUUGGCUAGGGACAGGGGAGGUGGGUGGGGGAUGGUGGCUAGAUCUUGGCUCUCAGUUUCUUUCCAUGCAGACAUUGCUCCUCUGCCCUGAGGACCUGCUUGUUUGGGGGAGGAGGCCUUUGGAGGCACUGGGGUCAUGCCAGGUGUUGGACAUGGUGAACUGGGAAGUGUCCCCAUUUGGCCAUAGCCCAAAAGUAUCACCGUGCUGGGGGGUGGGGAACAGGGCUGUGAAUGGGCCUAUUUGCAUAAGCAGCAUGUGUGGAGAGAAAGACAUCACAGAGCAGAAGAGGUGUGGGUGCCCAGUAGGGCAAUUGCCACCUCUACUUCAUCCCUGAAAGAGUAAAUGGCCUGGAAAGUGUCUCCAAGAGGUAAUGCUGCACACCACCCUCCCUGGUGGCACUGGGUCAGGUUACACCUGCCUUAGGUUGGGGGCUGCAGCAGCCUGCAGAGCUCUCAGUAGUGCCUCAGUAGCCUGGGAGGGAGCAGGGGCAGGGGGCAGGAAGAGGCAUAAUGGGGCUGUCCAGAGGGGUCUGGGAAACCUGGUCCCUGAGGCCUGGGCACAGCUACAGUCACUUCAGAUUGGCUGUGGGGCCAGUGGACUGGGAAGGAAAAAAGCAUUAAGAGUGGCCAAGUGCAGAAGGCUGUCAGGUCCCAGGUCACAUGCCUUAGUGCAGUGACUCCUCAUCAUUUUAUGGUGUGUGGGUGUCAUUGGUACACCCAUUUUGCAGAUGAGGACACUGAGGCCCAGAAAAGUUAAGUUACAUGUCCUAAGUCACACAGCUUGUAAGUGCCAGAACUGAGAUCAAAACCAAGUCUCUUUGACUUUGAAGUCUGUACUUUGACUCCAAAGAGAUCCUGUUUCAUUUGGCCACUUAUAGGAGGCCCCUAAAGCUGCAGACUCCCCUUGCCGGUGCCCACAUAUAGAGACAUUAACCCCUGCCCUGCAGGGUCACCUCAAAUAGUCUUUUAGCUGGGCUUCUCCCACAGUUCCACCUAAUGCCAUCCCCUGGGUUUUGCCCAAACCUGGACUGGGCAGCGGGGUGAGAGGAGGGGUUUACAGGGUUACAGAGCCUCAUACAGAUUGGAGCCCAUGGCUGCUGGUCAUCUGUAUUCCUGCAGGAUUGGCUGUUCCUUGGGGUCCUUGGCAGGAAGAUGAGGAUGCUCCCGAGACCUGCUCCAGUGCUUGCCAGAGGCUGGCCUGGUGGGCUCUGGAAAGACAGGCUGGAGAGGCAGAAGUAGGAGAGCAGCAAUGGCACUCAGGUAGCUUGAAUCACCAGGACCCUUCCAAGCCCCACAGGUCCUCCUGAGGGAGUACUAGGGCAUUCUCUGGGAGAGGUCUCUUCCUAUGCUGUGAACCCCCUGCCUUUCUUGCAACCUACAAUGAAUAAAUUUUCUUUGCAAAGCC
Cercocebus atys (sooty mangabey) is the source of this 10331-nucleotide RNA transcript. RefSeq lists it as uncharacterized. Lineage: Eukaryota; Metazoa; Chordata; Mammalia; Primates; Cercopithecidae. The record is from RefSeq and is a predicted model, not a curated record. The transcript has 6 exons.